This 497-nucleotide ribosomal RNA is filed under the name uncultured bacterium. RNAcentral describes it as "partial 16S ribosomal RNA". It matches the Rfam family "Bacterial small subunit ribosomal RNA", at positions 28 to 507 of the family's 1533-position model. The record is from RNAcentral.
GAUGAACGCUGGCGGCGUGCCUAAUACAUGCAAGUCGAGCGAACAGACGAGGAGCUUGCUCCUCUGACGUUAGCGGCGGACGGGUGAGUAACACGUGGAUAACCUACCUAUAAGACUGGGAUAACUUCGGGAAACCGGAGCUAAUACCGGAUAAUAUAUUGAACCGCAUGGUUCAAUAGUGAAAGACGGUUUUGCUGUCACUUAUAGAUGGAUCCGCGCCGCAUUAGCUAGUUGGUAAGGUAACGGCUUACCAAGGGAACGAUGCGUAGCCGACCUGAGAGGGUGAUCGGCCACACUGGAACUGAGACACGGUCCAGACUCCUACGGGAGGCAGCAGUAGGGAAUCUUUCGCAAUGGGCGAAAGCCUGACGGAGCAACGCCGCGUGAGUGAUGAAGGUCUUCGGAUCGUAAAACUCUGUUAUUAGGGAAGAACAAAUGUGUAAGUAACUAUGCACGUCUUGACGGUACCUAAUCAGAAAGCCACGGCUAACUACGUG